GGGUUGUGAGGUUAAGCGACUAAGCGUACACGGUGGAUGCCCUGGCAGUCAGAGGCGAUGAAGGACGUGCUAAUCUGCGAUAAGCGCCGGUAAGGUGAUAUGAACCGUUAUAACCGGCGAUUUCCGAAUGGGGAAACCCAGUGUGACUCGUCACACUAUCAUUAACUGAAUCCAUAGGUUAAUGAGGCGAACCGGGGGAACUGAAACAUCUAAGUACCCCGAGGAAAAGAAAUCAACCGAGAUUCCCCCAGUAGCGGCGAGCGAACGGGGAGGAGCCCAGAGCCUGAAUCAGCAUGUGUGUUAGUGGAAGCGUCUGGAAAGGCGCGCGAUACAGGGUGACAGCCCCGUACACAAAAGCGCAUGUGUUGUGAGCUCGAUGAGUAGGGCGGGACACGUGGUAUCCUGUCUGAAUAUGGGGGGACCAUCCUCCAAGGCUAAAUACUCCUGACUGACCGAUAGUGAACCAGUACCGUGAGGGAAAGGCGAAAAGAACCCCGGCGAGGGGAGUGAAAAAGAACCUGAAACCGUGUACGUACAAGCAGUGGGAGCCCCACCACUAAGCCAGUGGUGAACUCCACAUACGCAUCCUUUGCUGAAGGUGCGGUUAACGGAGCGCAAGCGACGUUCAACCUCAAAAGAAGCAGAGGGGGCUUAGUGGUGGGGUGACUGCGUACCUUUUGUAUAAUGGGUCAGCGACUUAUAUUCUGUAGCAAGGUUAACCGCAUAGGGGAGCCGGAGGGAAACCGAGUCUUAAUUGGGCGUUAAGUUGCAGGGUAUAGACCCGAAACCCGGUGAUCUAGCCAUGGGCAGGUUGAAGGUUGGGUAACACUAACUGGAGGACCGAACCGACUAAUGUUGAAAAAUUAGCGGAUGACCUGUGGCUGGGGGUGAAAGGCCAAUCAAACCGGGAGAUAGCUGGUUCUCCCCGAAAGCUAUUUAGGUAGCGCCUCGUGAAUUCAUCUCCGGGGGUAGAGCACUGUUUCGGCUAGGGGGCCAUCCCGGCUUACCAACCCGAUGCAAACUGCGAAUACCGGAGAAUGUUAUCACGGGAGACACACGGCGGGUGCUAACGUCCGUCGUGAAGAGGGAAACAACCCAGACCGCCAGCUAAGGUCCCAAAGUCAUGGUUAAGUGGGAAACGAUGUGGGAAGGCCCAGACAGCCAGGAUGUUGGCUUAGAAGCAGCCAUCAUUUAAAGAAAGCGUAAUAGCUCACUGGUCGAGUCGGCCUGCGCGGAAGAUGUAACGGGGCUAAACCAUGCACCGAAGCUGCGGCAGCGACGCUGAUGCGUUGUUGGGUAGGGGAGCGUUC
RNAcentral lists this ribosomal RNA (1310 nucleotides) under Salmonella enterica subsp. enterica serovar Kentucky. RNAcentral's name for it is "partial 23S ribosomal RNA". It matches the Rfam family "Bacterial large subunit ribosomal RNA", at positions 1 to 1241 of the family's 2925-position model. Lineage: Bacteria; Pseudomonadati; Pseudomonadota; Gammaproteobacteria; Enterobacterales; Enterobacteriaceae. The record is from RNAcentral.